This is a long non-coding RNA of Eriocheir sinensis (Chinese mitten crab), 2957 nucleotides long. RefSeq lists it as uncharacterized. The record is from RefSeq and is a predicted model, not a curated record. NCBI's taxonomy places the organism in Eukaryota, Metazoa, Arthropoda, Malacostraca, Decapoda, Varunidae. The transcript is spliced from 2 exons.
GUUUAUUUUUGCCGCAGGUUAGAUUUAGUAAACAACAGGCCUAUGAGCGGCGCAGAGACCGUCACCCAAGCAAUAAUGCCAAAGUCCGCAAGUCCACCCCUGAAGGAUUAUCCCCGCCAGCUCUCAUGGAACCGACCAUAGUGACCGAAGGAAUGUUAUGUGAAGGAAAUCCGAGUGAAAAUCACGGUGCGUGGUGCUGGGUGACGGGGAAAGGGCUGGGGCCAUAUGGUUCAGCAGCCAUGAGCAUUAUCUCCCUGUGCCAUUGCUGCUCACGGCACCUUUGGCACCUCAUAACACCAUGGCCUUGACCACCAUAGGCACGCUGCCCUCUAGAAGUAGGCUUUAAUACAGUAACAUUUUCCCAAGUGAAAAAACUGAGGAAUGAAUAGUCUGCCAACAUGCAACUCCACCCCACCUUCUUAAAAAUAGGGAAAAAAUUUGCAGCGGGUAAAUACUUUUACUUUUUUACAUCAACCAAUCAGCAGGCUCCGUGUAAUAAACAAAAGGGAUCCAGCCUCGCGAGAGCCAAUGGGGGACUACUUUUCUUUCCACCAUCCGAAAGUGUGGAGCGGACCUACGUGUUGCCAUUUACUCCCUUUCCCCACUGUUACGAUUUAAAACAGGAAUAUAUUUGUACGAUCAUUUCCCUCAUCUUGCCAAUGUAUAUAAACCAAUCAAUAAUGGCGAGAUGGCUGCCGUGGAAUCACCCCAAGCAGAGUAAAGUCGGGGCUGCACGCAUCCGGACGCGUGCACACUUGCUAAACUGGGUCGUGGGUGUGACGUUGCGGGGAACAGCUGAUCCGCCUCACACGCCAGCCGCCACCCACAGGAGAACCUCGCUCGCCCUCUGCUCUCUUCAUCGCCCUGGCCAACAUUCCCCCUCGUCAGCCAUGGGACAGGAGGAGGUGCUCGGCGGUGUUCCUGGAGGAGGUUGGGAGGUGACAUCAGCCGCUGGGGGACCGGAGUGUCUCCGCCAGGUAGAGCAGUGGGGGUAGCCUCAGAGCGUGUAGCUUAAUCCGGGCUCGCGCGAGAUGUCUUGGGCUCGGCAGCAGGAACCGUGUGAUAUUCAGAGCUCAAUUUGAGACUCCUAAGUGUAUCACUUCCACGGCCUCAUCAGUAGGUAGUCGGAGAGUAGGUAUAGUGUGUGACUGAGAGGCGCCAGCGGUGCGGGCUUCCUACCGUGACGGAGGAGGCGCCACCCUGUCAUUGAGUGGCUUGAAUGUUAGUAGUGUGACGCUGCUGGAGAGGAUGGCUCCGGGAAAUGUGAUCAGGAGAUGCGAGGGAAAAGCUCUCGCUGAUGUAUUGAUCCAGUCAGUCACCGCUCAGCAGAGCAGUUCGGCCAGCGUGUCUUAUCACUGAUGCUGCUGCUUUACACAAGCAAAAGGGCUAUCCAUUUUUUUUUUCAAAAGCUCAUGGAAUCCUGUCGAGGAAGAAGUUACAGAAUCAAAAAAGACUUGUCUGUGUGCGCUUGGCUGAUUAGAAAGGCUGUGUGUGGCGCCACCAAGGCCACCCACCACACCUGACGGAGCGCUGACGGCCGUGUGUGUGUGUGUGUGUGUGUGUGUGUGUGUGUGUGUGUGUGUGUGUGUGUGUGUGUGUGUGUUGACGUCUUAUGUAUGAUCGACUGAUGUAAGCGACUGAUAGGACUCCCGACGAGGGUGUCUCUCAGCUCCGCCUUAUUUUUUUUUAAUAAAUAAAUGAGAAAUUGGAAGUGUUUCAGUGGAAUUACACCACGUCCGAGGGUGCCCCGAAUAUCUAACGAGGGGCACUUGGUACAGGACAUUGUAGAAGAAUGUGACUACCAUAUGCAAUUCAUGCUCCUCCAUUAUACAAUCCAAAACUUAAUUUAAGAUAUAUAAAGUUAAAUCUUAAACCUUAUAACAAAUUUUGGCGACGCCCUCCUGGCCAAGUCUUCCUGCAUGGUUAUAAUAAUGUGGAGGCAGUUCAGUCGUAGUCUUGUUCUUCACUUUGCUCUUCUGCAUCAAAUGUGGUAAAUCAUUCCAAAUGUUAACCUAAAUUAUGAGGUGUAUGUCGAGUAGAAAAAAGCAGUGUAAGUAUUCCUAAACCUAAUGGGUUUACAGAAAGUAAACUUGAAGCGUGCACCACAGUGCCACUGGUGCCAAAACGUAUUUGCUGAAGCGAACCUGGAAAAAAGAGAGGUAAGGUGUGGUGGGAAGUAGUGUGUUUGUGCAGAGGGGAAUGUGACAAAACGCGGGUUGUGUGGACUUUGCAACGUUUCACAGUUUAGUUUUAAGUGCAAUGGUUGGCAUUUUUAGAGCGUCUGAAAGCUUGUGUGCGUGCGUCCAGGUGUUACUAAGAGUUGCGGGUGCUGGUGGCGACGGGUCUCCUGAUAAGCGUCGUCUAGCGAGAUUGAUAGGGGCGUGUGGAAUACUUCACCGCUAAGGACUUCACCAGAGAGACUCAGGUGGGUUUAUGGAUUUGAGCCUCGGGAAAGUUGGGCGAUGUGAAAUGUCCGCCAUCACACUGAAUUUAAAAAAAAAAAAAAAAAAAAAAGCUGACAGUCUCUAGUUUGAGUGAGCAAGUCGCGGGGCUGACGGCUCCCACUGAUGUGUCAAGAUCGUUUCUAUUGUAGUAAAGGAAGAUGUAGGUUUCCUUUAGCUACGAUACUCAGCCGUAGGGAGCUGCAUAGGGCGGCGGUGCACAUAAUACUCAAGAUAAGCAAAGGCUAGAGGGCAGCAGUCAAACAGGCCGAUGGAUCAGGUCGAAAGCAGGGCAGGUAAAAACAAGCACAGGUUUGUGGGCGACAUUAGCAGCGCUGUGGCGGCGUUGGCGGCAGCAACAACAUAACCUUGAAAACCUGCCGUGGCCAGCAGGGCUGCCACCGUCUACGGCCGCCUCUCUCUGACACAAUUUCUCCCCACUCCUUGACUUGCUGGCCUCUCCGGCACAGGGUGAUUCAAUAUUCAGCUACUGAAAAUAGUAAAAAUAUAAUAAGU